GGGGGUCUAGCUCAAAUGGUAGAGCGCUCGCUUAGCAUGCGAGAGGUACUGGGAUCGAUACCCAGGUCCUCCA
RNAcentral lists this transfer RNA (73 nucleotides) under Spiromyces aspiralis. RNAcentral's name for it is "tRNA-Ala". It matches the Rfam family "tRNA". Rfam says of the family: Transfer RNA (tRNA) molecules are approximately 80 nucleotides in length. Their secondary structure includes four short double-helical elements and three loops (D, anti-codon, and T loops). The record is from RNAcentral. RNAcentral also lists the same sequence under 1 other name. Lineage: Eukaryota; Fungi; Kickxellomycota; Kickxellomycetes; Kickxellales; Kickxellaceae.